This 454-nucleotide ribosomal RNA is filed under the name uncultured bacterium. RNAcentral describes it as "partial 16S ribosomal RNA". It matches the Rfam family "Bacterial small subunit ribosomal RNA", at positions 28 to 507 of the family's 1533-position model. The record is from RNAcentral.
GAUGAACGCUGACAGCAUGCUUAACACAUGCAAGUCUACUUGAACUUCGGUUUGGGUGGCGGCCGGGUGAGUAACGCGUAAAGAACUUGCCUCACAGUUAGGGACAACAUUUGGAAACGAAUGCUAAUACCUGAUAUUAUGAUCUUAGGGCAUCCUAAGAUUAUGAAAGUAAUAUGCACUGUGAGAGAGCUUUGCGUCCCAUUAGCUAGUUGGAGAGGUAACGGCCCUCCCAGGCGAUGAUGGGUAGCCGGCCGGAGAGGGUGAACGGCCACAAAGGGACGGAGUGAGGGCCCGUACAGCUACGGGAGGGAGGAGGGGGGAAGAAUGAACAAAGGACCAAAAGUCUGAUCCAGCAAUUCUGUGUGGACGAUGACGUUGUUCGGAAUGUAAAGAGCUUUCAGUUGGGAAGAAAAAAAUGACGGUACCAACAGAAGAAGCGACGGCUAAAUACGUG